UACAGAGGGUGCGAGCGUUGUUCGGAAUUAUUGGGCGUAAAGAGCUCGUAGGCGGUUUGUCGCGUCGAAUGUGAAAACCCGGGGCUCAACCCCGGGCCUGCAUUCGAUACGGGCAGACUAGAGUUCGGUAGGGGAGUCUGGAAUUCCUGGUGUAGCGGUGAAAUGCGCAGAUAUCAGGAGGAACACCGGUGGCGAAGGCGGGUCUCUGGGCCGAUACUGACGCUGAGGAGCGAAAGCGUGGGGAGCGAACAGG
Molecule: ribosomal RNA, 253 nt
Filed under: uncultured bacterium
Lineage: Bacteria
Description: partial 16S ribosomal RNA
Rfam family: Bacterial small subunit ribosomal RNA
Source: RNAcentral